GACGAACGCUGGCGGCGUGCUUAACACAUGCAAGUCGAACGGAAAGGCCUCUUUCGGGGGGUACUCGAGUGGCGAACGGGUGAGUAACACGUGAGUAACCUGCCCUUGACUUUGGGAUAACUUCAGGAAACUGGGGCUAAUACCGGAUAGGAGCUCCUGCUGCAUGGUGGGGGUUGGAAAGUUUCGGCGGUUGGGGAUGGACUCGCGGCUUAUCAGCUUGUUGGUGGGGUAGUGGCUUACCAAGGCUUUGACGGGUAGCCGGCCUGAGAGGGUGACCGGCCACAUUGGGACUGAGGUACGGCCCAGACUCCUACGGGAGGCAGCAGUGGGGAAUAUUGCACAAUGGGUGGAAGCCUGAUGCAGCAACGCCGUGUGUGGGAUGACGGCCUUCGGGUUGUAAACCGCUUUCGCUCAUGACGAAGCUUUGUGUGACGGUAGUGGGUAAAGAAGCACCGGCUAACUACGUG
Molecule: ribosomal RNA, 467 nt
Filed under: uncultured bacterium
Lineage: Bacteria
Description: partial 16S ribosomal RNA
Rfam family: Bacterial small subunit ribosomal RNA
Source: RNAcentral